CAAGUGACCCCCGGCUCCGGCCGGGGAUGUUCAUAACCCUUUGUUGUCCGACUCUGUUGCCUCCGGGGCGACCCUGCCUUUUCCGGGCGGGGGCCCCGGCUGGACACCACAAAACUCUUGCGUAACUUUGCAGUCUGAGUAAAUUUAAAUUAAUAAAUUA
Molecule: unclassified non-coding RNA, 160 nt
Filed under: uncultured Cladosporium
Lineage: Eukaryota; Fungi; Ascomycota; Dothideomycetes; Cladosporiales; Cladosporiaceae
Description: sequence contains ITS1
Source: RNAcentral